UGAAAAGAUUAUUACAACAAAAGUGUAACAAAUAUAUUCACCCAAAGUUUUAUGUGACACAGGGAACUUCAGAUGUGAAGACCUAAAGACCCAGAACCAACUUGCAUUUUAUGCUUCUCUUCCAUGAAGAGUGGAUGUUGUAUAGCAGAAUGACUGCACAGAAAGGAGCUCUGGCACACUGGUAAUAAAGUGACGAGAACUUGGAUGCUCUUUCUCCUGGAAGUUGUGGAGCUCUGCUCUCACCAGGUGGCGGUUCUCGACUCUGCAGCACCCUUGACUGUGACACCUGCUAGUAGGAAGAGCUCAACAAUUUUCUUCAAGGACAACAUCUCAGAGCUGUUUACAGGUACCAACCGGGGCUUCAACAGAAACACCGAAUGUGGAUGGGAUUUAGGGGGUGUCGGGAGAGUUAACAAAGUAGUUUCCAAGGGAUGUGAGCUCCUAAGUGGUUCUUUCCCCCAAAAUGGGUUCCCUGAAGUUCAGAAGUAGAAGCCUUCUAAGUCGGUGGGUGGAGAACCAGGAAAAGGUAGAGACUGGCUCUGGAUUUAGGUUUAGUCAAUUGUCAAAGUUCUGAGGAGACUCUUCAGGUCCCCGAUCCAUGAUUCACGCCUCUGUGGUCAGACCUCGCGAGUCCCAGGCCCUGGGCUUUGGAGGUUACAGCUCAUCCUCCUGGCAGCUUUAGCCAAGGCCCACUGCUUAGGAAAUGCUCCAUUUUCCAGAGAGGGACUAAACAGUAAAAACUACAGGACACUUUCCCAUUAUAUAGUACUGUCAUGGGGUAACAUUGAAAAAUUCGGAACAAAUAGAGAAAAAGUAAAUUCCUCCCAGCCUGGGAAUAUUAAACCUUCUCAGGAUUACUCUUGGCUUGGGGACCCUGUGGGCCUUCCCCUCAGCCCGGACCCUGGCUGACCGACCACAUCUGUCUAGAAUAUCAACGCAGAGGGGCAAGACUUUGAUAUUUUGCACCAAGAGUUACAUUCUCUGCCCAGAAGUAACAGUCUCCUUCCCUCACUACCUAAACACUUAAGCACAGGGGUUCGAAAAAGGAAACUCCGAACUCUUAGGGUUAUCAGCGGGAGGUGCCGCACAGAGACGGGCGGCUUCUGCCCCCUUCUCUCCGUGGACGCGUGUUUACGGCUCUAGUGUCCACCACUGUCUGCUCGACUAACUUAAGUUCAGCGAGAAGAGCCACGCUUGGCACCGGGCGGCCGGACAGGAUCCCCCGCUCCGAUACUGGCCCCAAGCCCAGGCAGCGGAGGCUGGAAGGCUGGGGCUGGGCGUGAGCUUCCUGCCAGGUGGCCCGGUGGUGGAGACGGUAAGGUUGUUUCUAGGGAUCCCCUUCGGCCCACUGUCCCUUUGCUCAAUCCGGCUUCUGUCACCUUCUCUGUUGUCGCUCUGGUCCCCGUGUGGGCGAUGUGAAGGCUCCUUCCCGUGGGGUGGGCUCCCCAGGAAGACCCGGAGAGGCUGCCUCCCCCGGUGCUGCUCUGCCCCGUGCCUCAUUCGUCAGCCUCCCUUGCUCCAGACGCGUCCCGCUGGUACCGCCCCUGUUCAGGUCCCGAAAGGAUGAGCUUAGAUUGAGAUUCACAGCGGUGCCUGCGUGCAGCCGCGUUCCGUCCGGUUCGGGCCGAGUCCCGGCUGCGAGCGGAAGGUGAGACGCCCUCACUCGGCGACCCUCCAGCC
Molecule: long non-coding RNA, 1680 nt
Organism: Fukomys damarensis (Damara mole-rat)
Lineage: Eukaryota; Metazoa; Chordata; Mammalia; Rodentia; Bathyergidae
Source: Ensembl